UAAAAACCCCGACUUCGGAAGGGGUGUAUUUAUUAGAUACAAAACCAAUGCCCUUCGGGGCUCUUUGGUGAUUCAUGAUAACUAUACGAAUCGCACGGCCUUGCGCCGGCGAUGGCUCAUUCAAAUUUCUUCCCUAUCAACUUUCGAUGUUUGGGUAUUGGCCAAACAUGGUUGCAACGGGUAACGGAGGGUUAGGGCUCGACCCCGGAGAAGGAGCCUGAGAAACGGCUACUACAUCCAAGGAAGGCAGCAGGCGCGCAAAUUACCCAAUCCCGACUCGGGGAGGUAGUGACAAUAAAUACUGAUACAGGGCCCUUUCGGGCCUUGUAAUUGGAAUGAGUACAAUUUAAAUCCCUUAACGAGGAACAAUUGGAGGGCAAGUCUGGUGCCAGCAGCCGCGGUAAUUCCAGCUCCAAUAGCGUAUAUUAAAGUUGUUGUGGUUAAAAAGCUCGUAGUUGAACCUUGGGCCUGGCUGGCCGGUCCGCCUCACCGCGUGCACUGGUCCGGCCGGGCCUUUCCCUCUGUGGAACCCCAUACCCUUCACUGGGCGUGGCGGGGAAACAGGACAUUUUACUU
Molecule: ribosomal RNA, 576 nt
Filed under: uncultured eukaryote
Lineage: Eukaryota
Description: SSU rRNA
Rfam family: Eukaryotic small subunit ribosomal RNA
Source: RNAcentral